RNAcentral lists this ribosomal RNA (433 nucleotides) under uncultured bacterium. RNAcentral's name for it is "partial 16S ribosomal RNA". It matches the Rfam family "Bacterial small subunit ribosomal RNA", at positions 29 to 507 of the family's 1533-position model. The record is from RNAcentral.
AACGAACGCUGGCGGCAUGCCUAACACAUGCAGGUCGAACGAGACCUUCGGGUCUAGUGGCGCACGGGUGCGUAACGCGUGGGAACCUGCCUUUAGGUUCGGAAUAACUCAGAGAAAUUUGAGCUAAUACCGGAUGAUGUCUUCGGACCAAAGAUUUAUCGCCUUUAGAUGGGCCCGCGUUGGAUUAGCUAGUUGGUGGGGUAAAGGCCUACCAAGGCGUCGAUCCAUAGCUGGUCUGAGAGGAUGAUCAGCCACACUGGGACUGAGACACGGCCCAGACUCCUACGGGAGGCAGCAGUGGGGAAUAUUGGACAAUGGGCGAAAGCCUGAUCCAGCAAUGCCGCGUGAGUGAUGAAGGCCUUAGGGUUGUAAAGCUCUUUUACCCGAGAUGAUAAUGACAGUAGCGGGAGAAUAAGCUCCGGCUAACUCCGUG